AGUCGGAAAACAUUUUUAAACCACGUUGUUACCGUUGCUUCGGUUUGCCACUACUAUGAGAAAGCGUCGUUACCGAAGAGGUCUGAAUGCUAAAACAAACUCUGGAGGUGUUUUUUUGUCCAACAUGAGUGAGACUGGACGCUGAACACACCUGCGGCGCGAAGGUUUACUGGUUCAGCUGCUGCAGCCUGGACAGAAACACCAGCUCUAAACUUACAGAGCAAACAGGUGUCACCACUUCGUCCACGAUCACAGUGUCUUUGUAUGAUGAAGUUGUUCUUUGAGACCAGGACUGAGGCCUCCAGGUCUUCAGCUGCUGUCAUCUUCUCUGCCUGCAGAGACGAGAACAUAUGUGAAUCACAGAAACUGAUGAGUAAAUCUAAUAUUCCUUUCCUAAACUGACCUCAUUCAUUGUUGACAUCUAAUUACAAUGAUUUAAACUAAACUUUUUAUAACUCAGUCAGUACUUCAUAUUUUAGUGUGUUUUUCUAAUUUACAGUCACAGUAAUGACUAGAAAUAAGAACCUACUGUAACAAUUAAAUAGUUAUCUCUCAAAUUUCACAGAACUAAAUAAACAUGAACCAUGCAAUAAAUACAGGAAAACAAUUUCAA
Long non-coding RNA from Lates calcarifer (barramundi perch), 613 nucleotides. RefSeq lists it as uncharacterized. The record is from RefSeq and is a predicted model, not a curated record. The transcript has 4 exons. NCBI's taxonomy places the organism in Eukaryota, Metazoa, Chordata, Actinopteri, Centropomidae.